This 724-nucleotide long non-coding RNA is filed under the name Mus musculus (house mouse). RNAcentral describes it as "predicted gene, 46400". Lineage: Eukaryota; Metazoa; Chordata; Mammalia; Rodentia; Muridae. The record is from RNAcentral.
UAUUAACAAUCUGUUAAGAAUAUAAAGCUCUAAAAAUGAGACUAUAAUUUCAAUGUAAGUUCUCUCUCUCUCUCUUUUCCCACUUCCCUUCUCCUGCCUCGCUCUUUUUGUGAGUCUCGUCAUACUGUGGCAGCUAAUCUCCAAAUGAGACACUCAUUUUUAGGUGUUAUUCAAGUCUUCAUGAUAAAGGGACUGAGACUGUAAAGACAAAUCCUAGACCAGGCUUGUCUAGGAAGACUUCAUAGCCCAGAGGAUAAUGCGAAUGGAGUGAGGCUGGAGUUGUAAGCAGGCACCCAGGAAGUGCAGUGGAAACACAAAGGACUCAUUAAAUCGACUGGCUGAGUUAAAGCUCCUACAACCAGAUGCAGGUGCUGUGGAGGCUGGAGGUGAUCCAGGUGCCCUGGAGCUGGAGCAGCUAUGAGCCACCUGAUAUGGAUGGAAGUCCUCUUAAAGAGUACUUCGUUCAAAUCUGCUGAGCUACCUCGCCAACCCUUUGACUGGACUUGUGCCCUUCUCAGCUGGCCUUCUCCUCCUCUUCCUCCUCCUCCUCUUCCUCUUCUCUUUCUUCCUUCUCCUCCUUUUUUAUUUUUGCCAUAUUUGAUUCACCUACCAAGCCAUUAACCAAUCAGGCGCAGUGCAUGUCUCCUCAAACACACUCCGGCACUUAGUUCUCAAACCUAGGACAAAGCUCAUGAGGCAACAGUGACUUAAAGUGAAUUGAAAA